UUAAACCUCAACCCAUAACCAAAUUUGAUAAAUAAAAGAUGAGAACCAAUUUGGCAUUCAGGCAAUUUGGACGCGAUUGAGAUUUCUAUUAUUUUUUAAUUCGGGUUUCGAUUUGGUCAUUCAUACUACUUGAAAUAAGGAAGAGCAAGACGAGAGGUUGACGCUAAGAAAUAGCAAAAAAGGGACACUCAACCAAUGUUUCUUCCAUCUCCUCUAUCUGUUCCUUGCUGAAUAUUGUCGCUGGUAGUUGGGGGAGAAACCAUCGCUGUGGAUAUGUACAGAAGAAACAUAAAUGAGGAGAAAUUUGACCGAGGCUAAUUUUGCUAAUAGGGUCAGAACAAUACAUGGUGCCAUGGAGAAUAUCUCAUUUAUCACUCAGAAUAAUAUGGACAAGAUUUGAAUUCUGGUUGUGCCCACUUAACGUACAUUCUACCUUACGGUGACAAAAAUGACCCGACAGUAGCCAAAAACAAUGGGAAUCUUAUUUAAGAGUAUUAACAGAUUGUUGUUCCAUUAGAUUUUCUAGCAAUCCAUCAUUUUUGAAUCCUUUUCAAUAUAUGUAAACUCUUGAUUGUGAAACAAUGUUGUAAUUAUUUUUAUUUUAUAUAUGGAUAAUAGU
Molecule: long non-coding RNA, 619 nt
Organism: Nicotiana attenuata
Lineage: Eukaryota; Viridiplantae; Streptophyta; Magnoliopsida; Solanales; Solanaceae
Exons: 4
Source: RefSeq, a predicted model, not a curated record